CACGUAGGGCGCAAGCGUUGUCCGGAAUUAUUGGGCGUAAAGAGCUCGUAGGCGGACUGUCACGUCUGCUGUGAAAAGCUGGGGCUUAACCCUGGCCUUGCAGUGGAUACGGGCAGACUAGAGGUAGGUAGGGGAGAAUGGAAUUCCCGGUGUAGCGGUGAAAUGCGCAGAUAUCGGGAGGAACACCGGUGGCGAAGGCGGUUCUCUGGGCCUUACCUGACGCUGAGGAGCGAAAGCGUGGGGAUCAAACAGG
RNAcentral lists this ribosomal RNA (253 nucleotides) under uncultured bacterium. RNAcentral's name for it is "partial 16S ribosomal RNA". It matches the Rfam family "Bacterial small subunit ribosomal RNA", at positions 524 to 776 of the family's 1533-position model. The record is from RNAcentral.